AUUCGCCACGUGUCAUAACUACAAUCACUUAUCGGAUCUCCGCUCUCUCAUAUUUGAAGCCACACAAGAUGCACAAAUCACUUGGGGGUGAGAAGAAGAAUUAGUUUUGAUCCAUCUUGUGAGAAUCAAUCAAUCGAUCAAUAAUGGCUGCUUCAGUGAUGCUAUCAUCGGUGACAUUGAAACCAGCUGGUUUCUCGGUGGAGAAGACCUCGGCCAGAGGAUUACCUUCGCUCACUAGAGCUCGUCCCUCCUUCAAAAUCGUCGCCAGUGGCGUCAAGAAGAUCAAGACCGACAAGCCCUUCGGUUCGUAGUAUAUCUAUAUUAUUAUACCAAGAUUUUACAAUAUAGUCCACGUUUCACCGUUCAUGUAUAGCUUAUAUCUGUUAAAUCGAUGUGUGUAUGCGUAGG
Molecule: long non-coding RNA, 408 nt
Filed under: Capsella grandiflora
Lineage: Eukaryota; Viridiplantae; Streptophyta; Magnoliopsida; Brassicales; Brassicaceae
Description: long non-coding RNA (CGRA_LNC000253)
Source: RNAcentral